UCCCCCUCUCGAGUUACCAUAUGCGGCACGAGGGAGGCACGGCCUACCCGGGAUGCGGGGGCGGAGUCCGGUGCGGGUGCGGGUCGGCGGCGGCGGCGGAGCUCCACGCGGAGGCAAGGCGGCGCCCGCGGCAGGGCAAGGUGGCCCGACGCCACCGCGAGGGCCAUCCGCCUUCACCCCUCUCGCUCGCCUAGCGGCGGCGCGGCGCCGGGCCACGCGACGGAGGCGCCCGCACCAGUGCGGCGGCGGAGGACCCCAUGGCCCGCACUAGAGGCGCCGCCCCCGGGCUGGCGAGACCUCUCUUCCCCGGCCAUCAUCGGCGCGCGGCCGCCGCUCCGGAUGCCCCGGCUUGGCACUGCCUGAGCCGCCGUGGUGCCGUGGUGGUCCUCUGCAGCCGCAUCCCAUCGAUGGCGCGCAGAGCGUCUACGCCCAGCGUUGGGUGGCCGUUGUGGUUGCCCGUCACCCGCCCCACCCACCGACGCUAGCGCCGCCUUGCCCAUCGCACCGUGCCCCACGCCCUUCGCUUCGCCGCCGCCGCCAAGCGCGCCGCAGAUCCGCUAUAUCCCCAUUGCGCCUCAUGCCGUAGUGCCGCCGCCACGGAUCCGCGACAUCAAUACAUUGCAGAAGACAUCCUGUUAGCUUUUUACAUAGCUAUGUAAAAAAACUAACAGGAUCUCUUCUGCAAUAUAUUGAUGUAAAAGAUCUGGUAUUGGGGGAGGUUGGAGAUUUUGAACUUCACAUAGAAGUAGCAACAAGCUUGUAAUCCCAUACAAAGUUAAUUUUAUAGUCCAUAAUACACUGUGUCUGCCGCCCUCGAUCAGGUGAGCUACAUGUUUAGCCUAAGCAACUAUAUGCUGUUUUUUCCUCCAAGUCUCUUUGAUUGGACUGGUAAUUUUUGGAGGCUGGCCGUCAUUGCAUCGAUUUCAACAAACGUAACUGUUGCUUCUCGUCAGAUUUUUGACCGAUUUGGCUUGCCUGAUAGGAUUGCAUGGGCAUGGUGGCUCCUGAAGUACGUGGAGGAAGCAGAGUUUGGCCCGGACGCUGGCGUCAACACUGUGUUCCUCAUCGGGUCACUGGUGUCGAAACUGGAUGCUCUAUCAGAGUCGUGUAAAUGGAUGACCAAGGACAAAAAGUGUGCAUUGGUGCUGCUUUCUGAGGCGAAGCUCGGUAGCGAUCACAUAGGGCAGUAUGCAUAUAUUGGACUUAUGGAUUCCAGACUGUAAACAGCAUAGCUGUGCUGCUUUCUGAAGCGAAGCUCGGUAGCGAUCACAUAGGGCAGUAUGCAUAUAUUGGACUUAUGGAUUCCAGACUGUAAACAGCAUAGCUGUCCCAGCUUUGCCCUCCCAGGAGUACCUACCUGGGAUAACUAACUCUUGUACCAAUGAAGAGUAAGACAUUGCACCCAUUCUGCACAACUAAUCUCGUGGUAGUAGGAGCAACCAAUGGUGCUGGUGAAUAUACGUAUUCUGAUGUUUUCGCUUGUGGGGAUGCUCUACAUUUAGAUCCUGGAUGCAGCUCUCAGGUUUAUGCAGAGGUCAGCAUAAAUAGGUCUGCUACUUGCUAAAGGCUGGGCAUAAGAUGGUUUUUUGGUCUGUUCAUUUCUCUGAAAGAUAAAGUGUACUGAAAUCGCUGGCGAUUGCACUGAAAAAUAUGAAACUGAUGCCAGGGAUUCAUGACAGCAAAUGAUCUCCUGAAGGUAAGAAAGAUGGAUUGCUGCUGAUCCAGACAAUAUCUCAAAGGAUAUGCAGAGAUGAUGGUGUUUGAGCUUCCUCUCAGGAGCCACAUUGUUGUCUUCUUGGUUGUGGAAGAAGUAUAUAUUGCUUUCAGGUUGGGACUGGCUGUUAUUUGUUGGGACAGGAUUAGAGUGGGGAUAGUGUUUGCCGAUACUGUUGUGAAUCCGGGGAAUCCGUCUAGAGCUUUUAUUCCCAGACCUAUGCUUAAGGCCAUCUCUUUCCACAAACACUUGUGUUAGAAAUAACUAUCAAGUAUUUUCUAACAUUGUACUAUCAUUCCCAAUAAUUACAGAUGUGUCUGGCUUGUUGUUGACAAAACCAGUUGUCGCCGUCGUGGCCGCGACGAAGCCCAAGGCUGGCGCGGAGGCGCAGUGGAGGGAGGGCAAUGGUGAGGACAGGGAAGGUGCCAUUCGAGGAGCUCUGCGAUGAUGAUAAGAUUGCUGCGUUCUUCAAGUGGCUGAUGGGUGAGUGGAGCCAGGAGAUGGAAGAGAUGCCUGAGACGGAGCGGCGUACAGCCAAAGGGAAGGCUGCGCACCUGCAAGCAGUGCGCGCGAUACCUUGACCCGCUUUUCAAGCAGUGCAAGAAUAAAGUAUGGGCCAUCUGAUGUAGAUUCUCUGCCUUUGAUACGCUUGUAUCCGAGUGAUUUGGAUUUGAUCGGAAUAUGUAAAGGACUCAAGGGGAGCAAAAUGGUUGUCAUGGUGAUAAUAUCUGAAGCGGUGCCCCCACACCUCACCCCCACCCCUCUCUUGUCUAUAUUCCACUUUGAACAGCAGCUAUUGUGUUUAUCAUUUUUUUUUCAGAUGUAUAUCAGCAGUUGGUAAGUCAUGCAUAGGCUGGAUAUCAUCUUUCCAUUACCAGAAUGAAUGUGUCGCCAAUGCACCCAGGGCUCAGCUA
This is a long non-coding RNA of Panicum virgatum (switchgrass), 2628 nucleotides long. RefSeq lists it as uncharacterized. Lineage: Eukaryota; Viridiplantae; Streptophyta; Magnoliopsida; Poales; Poaceae. The transcript has 5 exons. The record is from RefSeq and is a predicted model, not a curated record.